CAGUCGCCACGGUAAUACGUAGGUGGCGAGCGUUGUCCGGAUUUAUUGGGCGUAAAGGGAGUGUAGGCGGUCUUUUAAGUCUGAUGUGAAAGCCCACGGCUCAACCGUGGAGGGUCAUUGGAAACUGGGAGACUUGAGUGCAGAAGAGGAGAGCGGAAUUCCAUGUGUAGCGGUGAAAUGCGUAGAUAUAUGGAGGAACACCAGUGGCGAAGGCGGCUCUCUGGUCUGUAACUGACGCUGAGGCUCGAAAGCGUGGGGAGCAAACAGGAUUAGAUACCCCGGUAGUCCCUGUCUCUUAUAC
Molecule: ribosomal RNA, 301 nt
Filed under: uncultured bacterium
Lineage: Bacteria
Description: partial 16S ribosomal RNA
Rfam family: Bacterial small subunit ribosomal RNA
Source: RNAcentral